Molecule: ribosomal RNA, 420 nt
Filed under: bacterium
Lineage: Bacteria
Description: partial 16S ribosomal RNA
Rfam family: Bacterial small subunit ribosomal RNA
Source: RNAcentral
UGGGGGAUAUUGCACAAUGGGCGAAAGCCUGAUGCAGCGACGCCGCGUGGGGGAUGAAGGCUUUCGGGUUGUAAACCUCUUUCGCUAUCGAACAAGGCCCGCUUAGGGUGGGUUGAGGGUAGGUGGAGAAGAAGCGCCGGCUAACUACGUGCCAGCAGCCGCGGUAAUACGUAGGGCGCGAGCGUUGUCCGGAAUUAUUGGGCGUAAAGGGCUGGUAGGCGGCUUGUUGCGCCUGCUGUGAAAACGCGGGGCUUAACUUCGCGCGUGCAUUGCGUACGGGCAGGCUUGAGUGUGGUAGUGGUGACUGGAAUUCCAGGUGUAGCGGUGGAAUGCACAGAUAUCUGGAGGAACACCGAUGGCGAAGGCAGGUCACUGGGCCAUUACUGACGCUGAGGAGCGAAGGCAUGGGUAGCGAACAGG